UACGUAGGGGGCUAGCGUUGUCCGGAUUUAUUGGGCGUAAAGAGCGUGUAGGCGGCCAGGGUAGGUCUGCUGUGAAAACUCGAGGCUCAACCUCGAGACGUCGGCGGAAACCAUCUGGCUAGAGUCCGGAAGAGGAAAGUGGAAUUCCUGGUGAUAGCGGUGAAAUGCGCAGAUAUCAGGAAGAACACCCGUGGCGAAGGCGG
This 203-nucleotide ribosomal RNA is filed under the name uncultured bacterium. RNAcentral's name for it is "partial 16S ribosomal RNA". It matches the Rfam family "Bacterial small subunit ribosomal RNA", at positions 524 to 724 of the family's 1533-position model. The record is from RNAcentral.